UUGUAAGUACUGCCUGGAGUAUGUGAGUUCGAGUUCCACUAACACCCGUUUAGAG
RNAcentral lists this small nuclear RNA (55 nucleotides) under Schizosaccharomyces japonicus. Lineage: Eukaryota; Fungi; Ascomycota; Schizosaccharomycetes; Schizosaccharomycetales; Schizosaccharomycetaceae. The record is from RNAcentral.